GAUGAAGAACGUAGCGAAAUGCGAUAAGUAAUGUGAAUUGCAGAAUUCAGUGAAUCAUCGAAUCUUUGAACGCACAUUGCGCCCCCUGGUAUUCCGGGGGGCAUGCCUGUUCGAGCGUCAUUUCACCACUCAAGCCUCGCUUGGUAUUGGGCAUCGCGGUCCGCCGCGCGCCUCAAAUCGACCGGCUGGGUCUUCUGUCCCCUAAGCGUUGUGGAAACUAUUCGCUAAAGGGUGUUCGGGAGGCUACGCCGUAAAACAACCCCAUUUCUAAGGUUGACCUCGGAUCAGGUAGGGAUACCCGCUGAACUUAAGCAUAUCAUAAGCGGAGA
This 329-nucleotide unclassified non-coding RNA is filed under the name soil metagenome. RNAcentral describes it as "partial contains 5.8S ribosomal RNA, internal transcribed spacer 2, and large subunit ribosomal RNA". The stretch from base 1 to 120 matches the Rfam family "5.8S ribosomal RNA", at positions 35 to 154 of the family's 154-position model. The record is from RNAcentral.